GGGGGAGGGGGCUGGGACUCAGUUAUCUGGGGCUUGCCAGGUGGUGCUGAUGGUCUCUGAUGAAGCACCUGGAGCGUGAGGCUGGGCAUAGUCCCCAGAGGUAAUAAAUAAGUGGUGAUACAAGCUCACGUAGAACUUGGACCUGAGGUUGGUGAGAGCUGUUCUUAUGGGUUUUGUGAAGGCUCAACAGGGAUAGGAGUGCUCCCCUAAAAUCUAGUGGCUUAGGGCAGAUUUUGGACUGUUUUUAGGCUGUGCUCUUCCCUGGGAGGGACCUUUUUCAGUCAGAGUGCUGCAGGCUCCCUUUGUUACACUGUAGUUGAGUUGAAGUAACGGAGUUGCUGCAUGUCUAAGGAAUGAAUCUUGGUUCAAACAGUGUCUGUAGCAGAACUGGGACCAGAGUUCUUUAUCUUUACUCUUCAGACUCUACAGACUGCUAUGUCCACUCGACUUUGUUUGGGAAAGCUCAAAGUGACCUGCCCUGAUACUUUCCUUGUGCCAAAGAAAAGAGUAUGUGUAAAAUGAUUUCUGCAGUUUCAAGCAGGAGCUAACGCUUGUGCAAGAAAUGUAUCAUUGGACUUCUUUUUUCCUUGAGUGCCUGCUUGACGAAUUUCUUCUAAGAACAUUGAUUUUAUAAGAUGUGGC
RNAcentral lists this long non-coding RNA (642 nucleotides) under Phasianus colchicus (ring-necked pheasant). RNAcentral's name for it is "lncRNA (ENSPCLG00000015542.1)". The record is from RNAcentral. Lineage: Eukaryota; Metazoa; Chordata; Aves; Galliformes; Phasianidae.